GAUGAACGCUGGCGGCGUGCCUAAUACAUGCAAGUCGAGCGAACGGACGAGAAGCUUGCUUCUCUGAUGUUAGCGGCGGACGGGUGAGUAACACGUGGAUAACCUACCUAUAAGACUGGGAUAACUUCGGGAAACCGGAGCUAAUACCGGAUAAUAUUUUGAACCGCAUGGUUCAAAAGUAAAAGACGGUCUUGCUGUAACUUAUAGAUGGAUCCGCGCUGCAUUAGCUAGUUGGUAAGGUAACGGCUUACCAAGGCAACGAUGCAUAGCCGACCUGAGAGGGUGAUCGGCCACACUGGAACGGGGACACGGUCAAGACUACUACGGGAGGCAGCAGAAGGGAACCUUCCGCAAUGGGCGAAAGCCUGACGGAGCAACGCGACGUGAGUGAUAAAGGUCUUCGGAUCGUAAAACUCUGUUAUUGGGGAAGAACAUAUGUGUAAGUAACUGUGCACAUCUUGACGGUACCUAAUCAGAAAGCCACGGCUAACUACGUG
This 497-nucleotide ribosomal RNA is filed under the name uncultured bacterium. Its description in RNAcentral is "partial 16S ribosomal RNA". It matches the Rfam family "Bacterial small subunit ribosomal RNA", at positions 28 to 507 of the family's 1533-position model. The record is from RNAcentral.